GUACAUGCUUCUUUCUUCCUUUUUCUUUUUGUUUCCCUUUAUUUUCUACAUUUGUUAAGCUGUUAAAUUGACGUUCUCCUAUGCUUGGUGAUCUUUUCCCGUGCUUCUUGUUCCCACGACUUUAUUUCAUAGUGGUGUCUUUCUUAAUAGAACUUGUAAUAUUCCAGUCAUGCAUACCUGCUAAUCUUUGUACAUCAUUUUAUAUCAGCCCUUUUGUAGA
This 220-nucleotide unclassified non-coding RNA is filed under the name Hevea brasiliensis (rubber tree). Lineage: Eukaryota; Viridiplantae; Streptophyta; Magnoliopsida; Malpighiales; Euphorbiaceae. The record is from RNAcentral.